This 460-nucleotide ribosomal RNA is filed under the name uncultured bacterium. RNAcentral describes it as "partial 16S ribosomal RNA". It matches the Rfam family "Bacterial small subunit ribosomal RNA", at positions 338 to 795 of the family's 1533-position model. The record is from RNAcentral.
CCUACGGGAGGCUGCAGUGAGGAAUAUUGGUCAAUGGACGAGAGUCUGAACCAGCCAAGUAGCGUGAAGGAUGACUGCCCUAUGGGUUGUAAACUUCUUUUAUAUGGGAAUAAAACGUUCCACGUGUGGGAUUUUGUAUGUACCAUAUGAAUAAGGAUCGGCUAACUCCGUGCCAGCAGCCGCGGUAAUACGGAGGAUCCGAGCGUUAUCCGGAUUUAUUGGGUUUAAAGGGAGCAUAGUGGGAUUGUUAAGUCAGUUGUGAAAGGUUGCGGCUCAACCGUAAAAUUGCAGUUGAAACUGGCAGUCUUGAGUACAGUAGAGGUGGGCGGAAGUCGUGGUGUAGCGGUGAAAUGCUUAGAUAUCACGAAGAACGCCGAUUGCGAAGGCAGUUCACUGGACUGCAACUGACACUGAGGCUCGAAAGUGUGGGUAUCAAACAGGAUUAGAUACCCGAGUAGUC